AAAAUGCGAUAGUUAAUGUGAAUCGCAAACCAUCGUGAAUCAUCGAGUCUUUGAACGCACAUUGCACUAUUUCCAUCACGGGAAUAGUAUGCCUGUUUGAGUAUCAGUAACCUUCUCAUUCACCCUUUCGGGGGCCUGAAUGGAACUGGGUCUUUAUGCCACUGAUACUGGCACAUGACCUUAAAGCGAGCUCCAGUCGCCGGCAACGGCGGUCUCGACCCAACUGACGGAAGCGUGUUAGGCCAGUUAGGCUCACUGCACGUUGUUUGUCUGGUUAGGUCAGGGAAAUGGAGGCUACACUGCGCGGGCUUUGCGGCCUGCAAUUUUAACUAAACUAUGAUCUCAAAUCAGGUAGGAUCACCCGCUGAACUUAA
This 374-nucleotide unclassified non-coding RNA is filed under the name uncultured fungus. Its description in RNAcentral is "sequence contains ITS1". The stretch from base 1 to 106 matches the Rfam family "5.8S ribosomal RNA", at positions 50 to 154 of the family's 154-position model. Lineage: Eukaryota; Fungi. The record is from RNAcentral.